UCUGCAGGAUCUAAUCCCCACUGCACAGAGAUCAAGGGCAUGGGCUUGGGUUUUAGCUCCACCACGGCCCUGCCAUGUGACCUUGAUCAUAUUCAUGACCUGGAAUGCCUCUGUUGCUUUGCUAUACAUUGGGGAUAAUAACAACGCCCUUUGCCUGAUGCUGUGAGGAUGGCAUGAGGAGUUGCUGAGAACAGCCCUGGUCCAGGGAUAUCCUGUAAAUGUUGGUCAUUAUGAUGUGUGUGACACUGUGUUAGGCUCUGUCAUGUGUGUUCUCCUUAUCUCUUCUACUACCCCACUUCACACACCUGCCAGAGAGAAUUUUUCUAGUACUGCUUACAGACCUUCAGUAGCUCCUCAUUACCUUCAAUGUCUCAUGUGUGGUCCAGAGAAUGAGUUCUGGAGCCGGUUUACUUAGGUGCAAAAGGCCUUUCUGGUGUGCGACUUGGGGCAAGCUACUUAGCUACUCUUUGCCUUCAUUUGGAAAAUGGAGACAUUAGUAAUACUCACCUCCUAGGCCUGUUGUAAAGAUUAAAUAGGACCAAAAUGUAAAAUGCUAAAAAUACAGUUUGAGGUUAGCAAGUGCUCCAAAAAUGUUGACUAUCACUAUUGUCCUAUUUAAAUAUUUAGCUCAAUAAAUAUUUGCUGGAUUAAAUUAGAUAUGUGCCAAACUGUGUGAAGCCAUAAGGAUGUAGUUUUCAAGGAAACCCUUCUCCCAAUCUUCCCUGCUAGAAUGGCAUCAAAUUGCUCCCUAACCUGCCUCCGUAUCUCCCUCACAUACAUGAAUUCUAAACUCUGUCUCAAAGUUUCUUUGCAUUAUUCACUGACAAUCUGUAUUUUACUUGUUUUGAAGGAUGAAAAUGCCUGUGUCAAUUUAUCUUUGACACCACUCCUUGCUGAAUCCACAUAUGUCUAUUACUGAGGAGUUUGGACGGACCAACAUCUGCAGAGGUCCACCUCACAUGAUCCCCAUUCGAUACAGCUGUGACUCUCCAAGGCUUUUACUCAUUAGUAGCUACUUCCUAUUACUUCCUGUAGUUCAGAUAUAAGAUGAAACUGAAAGAGCUUUUCACAAAGACUCUACUGAGGUGACUGUGAAGCCAAGCAUCGGAGUCUGGAGGAACCAUUUGGAAUCAGAACGUGCAGAACAUAUUAUAGGGACUUCUUACCCAAAUAAGCCUGACCCUCAACUCAGCCUUUCCUGUGCCAGUUGGAACAAGAAGCCAGACAUGAUCAUCCUUCAAUGAAGGGAAAUACCAGGACAGG
Long non-coding RNA from Cavia porcellus (domestic guinea pig), 1263 nucleotides. RefSeq lists it as uncharacterized. The transcript has 3 exons. The record is from RefSeq and is a predicted model, not a curated record. Lineage: Eukaryota; Metazoa; Chordata; Mammalia; Rodentia; Caviidae.